RNAcentral lists this ribosomal RNA (460 nucleotides) under uncultured bacterium. RNAcentral's name for it is "partial 16S ribosomal RNA". It matches the Rfam family "Bacterial small subunit ribosomal RNA", at positions 338 to 795 of the family's 1533-position model. The record is from RNAcentral.
CCUACGGGAGGCAGCAGUGAGGAAUAUUGGUCAAUGGACGAGAGUCUGACCCAGCCAAGUAGCGUGAAGGAUGACUGCCCUAUGGGUUGUAAACUUCUUUUAUAAAGGAAUAAAACGAGGCACGUGUGCCUUUUUGCAUGUACUUUAUGACUAAGGAUCGGCUAACUCCGUGCCAGCAGCCGCGGUAAUACGGAGGAUCCGAGCGUUAUCCGGAUUUAUUGGGUUUAAAGGGAGCGUAGAUGGGUUGUUAAGUCAGUUGUGAAAGUUUGCGGCUCAACCGUAAAAUUGCAAUUGAUACUGGCAGUCUUGAGUACAGGUGAGGUAGGCGGAAUUCGUGGUGUAGCGGUGAAAUGCGUAGAUAUCACGAAGAACCCCGAUUGCGAAGGCAGCUGACUAAACUGUGACUGACAUUGAUGCUCGAAAGUGUGGGUAUCAAACAGGAUUAGAUACCCUGGUAGUC